CAGCAAUGAUGUUUGAAUUUCUUCACCUGAACCAUUGUGUGGAUUAAAACACGAGCUUUUUAACCCUGAGCACA
Small nucleolar RNA from Synchiropus splendidus (mandarinfish), 74 nucleotides. The record is from RefSeq and is a predicted model, not a curated record. NCBI's taxonomy places the organism in Eukaryota, Metazoa, Chordata, Actinopteri, Syngnathiformes, Callionymidae.